AAGCGAACAGGCGAGCACGCCACGCGUCACACGUCAAUUCGCCCUCCGCUACAUCCCACUGGCACUUACGCAACCUCGUAAAGACCUCAUUUCGUACUCUUGCGCACCUAAUACUUGCCCUCAUGGCUGAAGGAUGUCUCCGUGCGUAGUACCUCAGCGCCCAGCACACCGCACGCCGUAUGCGGUGUAUGCCCAGGCGGCUCCCUCUCCCCCCUCCUAUACCCUGCCAGCGCCGGAGCCCCACUUCUCGUGGUGACAAGGGUCGAGAGUGCCUACGGCGUGGCAGGGGGGGGGGUCUGUGCGAUGCAUGGCCACACUGAUGUGUCGGCGGUGGGGCCCUGGGUGGCGUUGCGUCGGGGUGGCCCGCGACAGCGAACACGCUUGUGCCGUCCAUGUGGUAGGCAGGGUGUCGGCGUGGCUGGAACGCAUUGCACUCGGCCCCGACUGCCGUUGCUGGUGCGGGGGGAGGGGGCCUGUGUGCCACCCCUACGGGGAUGCACAGCAGGUGGGCGCCGGCGUGACGGGUGCGGGUGUGAGGCGACCUGCAGAGCGCGGCGGUGGUGUGGAGUAUGAGGCGGGGGCCGUGCUCGGAUGGCUGAGCCGGCGCGUUGCUGUAGGGCGUGUGUGUGCAGGGCUGCUUGGCACCACGCGAUGUGCCCGUGACAGGGCCCGGCAUAGCGUGGAGUGCAGCUAAGCUCCGAUGCACCGUGACAGAGAAUGGUCAGCCUGAAGAAGAAAAUCAAUAAUACACACUGCUGUGCACGUUUUCUGGUGCCAUCUUUCCUUCCCGCUUCUCCGUCUUGUGCGCGUCGUCGAAUCGGGUGAGUGGCUCUUUUUCUCUCGUCUACUCUCCUGCUGCCCACUGACCCCUCUGCUUGCAUUCGCGUCUUGUUCGCACCUUCACCCCACCAGCGUCUUGUACACGAGCACUUUGCUUUUCUGCACCCCUCGUCGAAAGGGGCGUGCUUCUGGGACCGUCUUUUGCGCUGAGCGCUGCUUGUGUUCUCCUGUUGCAGACUUCUCGUUUCUGUGAUUCCCCUUCUUUGUUUUCUUUUUCACGUCCUUUUCCGCGCGCUCCACUCGCCGAUUCCUCGUCUCCCUCUACACCACAACACAAAACAACACAAAUUCAUACCCCACACGAGAG
RNAcentral lists this unclassified non-coding RNA (1147 nucleotides) under Leishmania donovani. Its description in RNAcentral is "gene:unknown". The record is from RNAcentral. Lineage: Eukaryota; Euglenozoa; Kinetoplastea; Trypanosomatida; Trypanosomatidae.